AUUGAACGCUGGCGGCAGGCUUAACACAUGCAAGUCGAGCGGAGAUGAGGUGCUUGCACCUUAUCUUAGCGGCGGACGGGUGAGUAAUGCUUAGGAAUCUGCCUAUUAGUGGGGGACAACAUUCCGAAAGGAAUGCUAAUACCGCAUACGUCCUACGGGAGAAAGCAGGGGAUCUUCGGACCUUGCGCUAAUAGAUGAGCCUAAGUCGGAUUAGCUAGUUGGUGGGGUAAAGGCCUACCAAGGCGACGAUCUGUAGCGGGUCUGAGAGGAUGAUCCGCCACACUGGGACUGAGACACGGCGCAGACUCCGACGGGAGGCAGCAGUGGGGAAUAUUGGACAAUGGGGGGAACCCUGAUCCAGCCAUGCCGCGUGUGUGAAGAAGGCCUUAUGGUUGUAAAGCACUUUAAGCGAGGAGGAGGCUACUGAGACUAAUACUCUUGGAUAGUGGACGUUACUCGCAGAAUAAGCACCGGCUAACUCUGUGCCAGCCGCCGCUGUAA
RNAcentral lists this ribosomal RNA (501 nucleotides) under uncultured bacterium. RNAcentral's name for it is "partial 16S ribosomal RNA". It matches the Rfam family "Bacterial small subunit ribosomal RNA", at positions 30 to 523 of the family's 1533-position model. The record is from RNAcentral.